GGAACUCUAGUAUUAGUUUGCGUUAAAGGACAAGAACUAUCCACGAUUGGCCAACAUGGUAGAUGUGAGAAAGAGCUCAUCCAUCCCCAGACCUGCAGGAACAAUGAUGUACCGCAACGAAGUACUGUCACAUCAACAACAACAAGUUCCGAAAUAGAAGAAACACACAAUGCAUACAGCAGAGAACAUGAACUAACCAGGGAAUAUACAUUCACAACAA
Molecule: long non-coding RNA, 220 nt
Organism: Mytilus californianus (California mussel)
Lineage: Eukaryota; Metazoa; Mollusca; Bivalvia; Mytilida; Mytilidae
Exons: 3
Source: RefSeq, a predicted model, not a curated record